AAUCAACGCUGGCGGCGUGCCUCAGACAUGCAAGUCGAACGAUUAAAGCUCUCUUCGGAGAGUGUAUAGAGUGGCGCACGGGUGAGUAACACGUAAGUAAUCUACCCUCGAGUGGGGAAUAACGUCCGGAAACGGACGCUAAUACCGCAUAAUGCAGCGGCACCGCAAGGUGACAGUUGUUAAAGGAGAAAUUCGCUUGAGGAGGAGCUUGCGGCAGAUUAGCUUGUUGGUAAGGUAACGGCUUACCAAGGCUACGAUCUGUAACCGGUCUUAGAGGACGGUCGGUCACACUGACACUGAAUAACGGGUCAGACUCCUACGGGAGGCAGCAGUCGGGUAAUUUUGGGCAAUGGGCGAAAGCCUGACCCAGCAACGCCGCGUGAAGGAUGAAGUAUUUUCGGUAUGUAAACUUCGAAAGAAUAGGAAGAAUAAAUGACGGUACUA
This 444-nucleotide ribosomal RNA is filed under the name uncultured bacterium. RNAcentral describes it as "bacterial SSU rRNA". It matches the Rfam family "Bacterial small subunit ribosomal RNA", at positions 32 to 480 of the family's 1533-position model. The record is from RNAcentral.